Molecule: long non-coding RNA, 981 nt
Filed under: Betta splendens (Siamese fighting fish)
Lineage: Eukaryota; Metazoa; Chordata; Actinopteri; Anabantiformes; Osphronemidae
Description: lncRNA (ENSBSLG00000015317.1)
Source: RNAcentral
ACAACUGGAACCAAAACUGGACUUCCGCCAUUUCCCCCCUCUCACUCACCGUGAACAGACCAGCACGGCAGCGUUCAAGUCCUCCCAUAGAAAUAGUUCGGUUCUUGGGUGUUCUAACCAACACCAAAGUCUAUUCACUUUAACAAGGGAUCAACAAGUGAGGAUUUGUGGGUCACUUUUAUUUUUAACGGACCGGUGCCAGAAACACUGCCUCAGCAUUUAUACGUAUGUGCAUUUCAAACGAGGGUGCGUACAAUGCUGGAUUUGUUUCACGGCUCCUGUUGGAAAAAAAGGACCUAUUCCUAAAGUCCGUCAUCCACUCACUGAAGAGGGCAAAUCCCAGUUGCCCACAUGCAAGGAGGCUGUCAAACAGAGAAAUCACUGCAGACUGUUGGUACACGGACAUCUGCUGCCCAGCUCAGGAGUGAAGGUAUGUAAGUUUGUAUGUACCAACAGUAAGAUAGGUAAUAGAAGAUUUUAAUGGGUAUAUACUGUUUAGAUUUUAUAUCUGAAUUGUAACAACUGUUUAUCUGUUGUUUUAGCACAGACAGGCCUGUCCUCUUGUUUGGUUUAAUUUUUUGUCUGGUAUUGUGUGUUCUUACAUUAGAGAAGGUUUUGACCUACAUAAUAGUGAACAUUUCACUAAUCUACAAUUCUGAUUGCAGUACCUUUUGUUUUGAUGAGGUGAUGGUGAGGACAGCCACAGCUUCCAUCUGGUAGAGGACUGCUUCCGCUCAGUCUUCCAAAUAGUGAUGAGAACAAGGAUCACCACAUCUCCCUGUUUACCCUACUUUCAUGCAUUUCAUCUGCAAGGCCCUGCAAAAGCUUCUCCUUCGUCCUCAAACCCCCAGACUUCUUAAUUAACUCAGUAACCUAUACAUUGCACAUUGGAGUGUGAAGGUAACAGUUUGUUCUAGCUUUGGAGUAAUGGUGUAUUUUUUUGGUUUACAAUAAAGUUGGCUUUAACUAUUAUGUAUUUCA